GGAAGGGUGGCCGAGUGGUUUAAGGCUCUAGUCUUGAAAACUAGCGUGGGGGUAACCCCACCGUGGGUUCGAAUCCCACCCCUUCCGCCA
RNAcentral lists this transfer RNA (90 nucleotides) under Gammaproteobacteria bacterium. Its description in RNAcentral is "tRNA-Ser". It matches the Rfam family "tRNA". From Rfam's summary of the family: Transfer RNA (tRNA) molecules are approximately 80 nucleotides in length. Lineage: Bacteria; Pseudomonadati; Pseudomonadota; Gammaproteobacteria. The record is from RNAcentral.